RNAcentral lists this ribosomal RNA (1140 nucleotides) under Salmonella enterica. Its description in RNAcentral is "bacterial SSU rRNA". It matches the Rfam family "Bacterial small subunit ribosomal RNA", at positions 1 to 1135 of the family's 1533-position model. The record is from RNAcentral. Lineage: Bacteria; Pseudomonadati; Pseudomonadota; Gammaproteobacteria; Enterobacterales; Enterobacteriaceae.
UGAAGAGUUUGAUCAUGGCUCAGAUUGAACGCUGGCGGCAGGCCUAACACAUGCAAGUCGAACGGUAACAGGAAGCAGCUUGCUGCUUUGCUGACGAGUGGCGGACGGGUGAGUAAUGUCUGGGAAACUGCCUGAUGGAGGGGGAUAACUACUGGAAACGGUGGCUAAUACCGCAUAACGUCGCAAGACCAAAGAGGGGGACCUUCGGGCCUCUUGCCAUCAGAUGUGCCCAGAUGGGAUUAGCUUGUUGGUGAGGUAACGGCUCACCAAGGCGACGAUCCCUAGCUGGUCUGAGAGGAUGACCAGCCACACUGGAACUGAGACACGGUCCAGACUCCUACGGGAGGCAGCAGUGGGGAAUAUUGCACAAUGGGCGCAAGCCUGAUGCAGCCAUGCCGCGUGUAUGAAGAAGGCCUUCGGGUUGUAAAGUACUUUCAGCGGGGAGGAAGGUGUUGUGGUUAAUAACCGCAGCAAUUGACGUUACCCGCAGAAGAAGCACCGGCUAACUCCGUGCCAGCAGCCGCGGUAAUACGGAGGGUGCAAGCGUUAAUCGGAAUUACUGGGCGUAAAGCGCACGCAGGCGGUCUGUCAAGUCGGAUGUGAAAUCCCCGGGCUCAACCUGGGAACUGCAUUCGAAACUGGCAGGCUUGAGUCUUGUAGAGGGGGGUAGAAUUCCAGGUGUAGCGGUGAAAUGCGUAGAGAUCUGGAGGAAUACCGGUGGCGAAGGCGGCCCCCUGGACAAAGACUGACGCUCAGGUGCGAAAGCGUGGGGAGCAAACAGGAUUAGAUACCCUGGUAGUCCACGCCGUAAACGAUGUCUACUUGGAGGUUGUGCCCUUGAGGCGUGGCUUCCGGAGCUAACGCGUUAAGUAGACCGCCUGGGGAGUACGGCCGCAAGGUUAAAACUCAAAUGAAUUGACGGGGGCCCGCACAAGCGGUGGAGCAUGUGGUUUAAUUCGAUGCAACGCGAAGAACCUUACCUGGUCUUGACAUCCACAGAACUUUCCAGAGAUGGAUUGGUGCCUUCGGGAACUGUGAGACAGGUGCUGCAUGGCUGUCGUCAGCUCGUGUUGUGAAAUGUUGGGUUAAGUCCCGCAACGAGCGCAACCCUUAUCCUUUGUUGCCAGCGGUCCGGCCGGG